CCUACGGGUGGCAGCAGUGGGGAAUAUUGCACAAUGGGCGCAAGCCUGAUGCAGCCAUGCCGCGUGUGUGAAGAAGGCCUUCGGGUUGUAAAGCACUUUCAGCGGGGAGGAAGGCGGUGAGGUUAAUAACCUCAUCGAUUGACGUUACCCGCAGAAGAAGCACCGGCUAACUCCGUGCCAGCAGCCGCGGUAAUACGGAGGGUGCAAGCGUUAAUCGGAAUUACUGGGCGUAAAGCGCACGCAGGCGGUCUGUCAAGUCGGAUGUGAAAUCCCCGGGCUCAACCUGGGAACUGCAUUCGAAACUGGCAGGCUAGAGUCUUGUAGAGGGGGGUAGAAUUCCAGGUGUAGCGGUGAAAUGCGUAGAGAUCUGGAGGAAUACCGGUGGCGAAGGCGGCCCCCUGGACAAAGACUGACGCUCAGGUGCGUAAGCGUGGGGAGCAAACAGGAUUAGAUACCCUUGUAGUC
This 465-nucleotide ribosomal RNA is filed under the name uncultured Klebsiella sp. RNAcentral describes it as "bacterial SSU rRNA". It matches the Rfam family "Bacterial small subunit ribosomal RNA", at positions 338 to 795 of the family's 1533-position model. The record is from RNAcentral. Lineage: Bacteria; Pseudomonadati; Pseudomonadota; Gammaproteobacteria; Enterobacterales; Enterobacteriaceae.